This 305-nucleotide ribosomal RNA is filed under the name uncultured bacterium. Its description in RNAcentral is "bacterial SSU rRNA". It matches the Rfam family "Bacterial small subunit ribosomal RNA", at positions 338 to 660 of the family's 1533-position model. The record is from RNAcentral.
CCUACGGGACGCAGCAGUGGGGGAUAUUGCACAAUGGGGGGAACCCUGAUGCAGCGACGCCGCGUGGGUGAAGAAGCGCCUCGGCGCGUAAAGCCCUGUCAGCAGGGAAGAAAAUGACGGUACCUGAAGAAGAAGCCCCGGCUAACUACGUGCCAGCAGCCGCGGUAAUACGUAGGGGGCAAGCGCUAUCCGGAUUUACUGGGUGUAAAGGGAGCGUAGACGGCCGUUCAAGCCAGAUGUGAAAGCCCGGGGCUCAACCCCGGGACUGCAUUUGGAACUGUGCGGCUAGAGUGUCGGAGAGGCAG